GUAGUCGGUAGGAGAGCUACUGCUAUCGCUAAUAGUCACUUGAGCUGCUUUAUUAAAAAAGUAAAAUUACUAUAAACUCACCUAAAAAGGUUCCAGUAAGUUCUGCAGGGGACUACUCACGGAAUCGAAUUCUUUGGCUGAGCGCCGACGCCAAGUAGCUGUCGGCGGUCCAAGCGUGCCGUACGUUCUGGCGCUGAGAACAGAAGCCGACCCGGUUCGCCUCCAGCAGGGCGUUGUCGUGACCCGACGCCGACCGGACGAACACUGUGUGGAAGAAGGAGGACGUGGGCGAGCAGUCCUUGAAGAUGAGCUCCACCCGGGGUCCUUUGCACCACCUAGUGGCAUCUUCAAGCAUUUCAGAGAUAGCAUCAAAACAGCGAAUAGGUACCCGCCGAAGCCCAGUGCCGCAAACACCGUAAGAAAGAGCAGCAGGACCACAGUGGCCAACAUGGGGAUGCCACCGCCCACCUUUCGAUCCUUCUGAGGCCAGACAGGUCCCAGCUGAUGCUGCUGAAGUUGCCGCUGACCUCUGUCCACGAAGAACACUUGUUGGAAGGGGUAGCUCUGGUCACAGCUCAUGAUGCCGUUUCCUCCAAAUGCGCCGCUUUGCAUAGCAUGUAUUUGCCGUCGUGCAUGUAACACAAGCACUCACAAAUUCCUCCCUCUUGCACGUAUGUCGUUGGUGUCUUCACACUCACGCUUUGAAAAAGCCUCAGGAUAUGAGUCACAAUCACCUGUCCUAAUUUGAGAGGACUGCGCCCCCCCCCCCCCUUUUUUUAUCAGUCACGUGGUCACUAAGUGGGGGAGUAAAAAGAUUGUUCUAAAGACUUUUAAAAUGUGAAACAAAAGAACAAAAAAGAUACUUUUACUAAUACAAAACAAAUUAGUGUUUUUUUUUAAUUUUAUUUUAUUUUUUUUAUUUUAUCCAAACAUAAGAAAGAUGUGCUUCUUUUUCCUGUCAAUUUAAUUUAUAAAAUAAGAAAAAAGAAAAAUACAACGUGUGUAAAUAUUGAUUAAUGGAUUGCAACAUAUGAAUCAAUAUUUAAAAUUUGAACAAAAUUACAAAUGUAAUUUUUUCUAAGAAAAAUAUGAAAGAAAGGACAAAAAUAGAAUAAAAAAAAAAUACAAUUUUAACCUUAAUUGGAGCAUGUCAUAGACCUUUACACAAGAAAAUUUUAAAAAAGCAAAUAUACAAAGUGUGAAAAAUGUUUUAAAAAAAGUAAAAAUGCACAAACUGUGUUCAUGUAUGUUUUUUUAAAGUCAAUUAAAAAAAAAAAUCUACAAAACUUAAUAAAUGCCUGAAAUGUAAGAAGUUAGAGAACAUAAAAUUAUAAAAUAGUGGAAGAUACAAUUAAAAGACGUAUUAAAAAGCUACUAAAUGUGAAAAAUUGUAAAAAGACAUAUAAAAUGUGAAAAAAUUUACAAAUUUAGGGAAAGAAAUUGAAAAACAUUGAACAACUCUACAGCAUUAGAAAAAAAAGUAAACUAAGUGUGGAAAAAAUAUACAAAAACAACCUUUUUUACAAUAUGAUUACCAGGUAAUCAAGUACAAAAUUAACUACGAGCACAAGGCUCACACCCUAAACGUCUGAUCAUCCCAACAUUAUUAACACAACUAAAAAGCACACAUGCCCUCUACCAGCUACCCCAAAAUAUCUUCAAUUAUUUUCAUGUAAUUAACCGAUCUUCAGACAAAAUAAAAUAAAAAAAUUGGGCUCCGGUUAUUGAUGCGAAUAAAUCCUUAGAAUAUAUCUACCUAAUAACGGAGGAAUAGUAAUUUCAGUUCAUCUCCUCCCCAAGAAGAACAACGAGAACAAAGUAAGCGAGAACUUGAGAAGCGAGAACUCAAAACAAACAAAAGAGUGUAUGUGUGUACAAAAUAAUAACCAGAAUGUGAAAAAUGUUUCUAAUACAGUAUUUUUUUUACAUUGUUUCAGAAUGUUGGUAAACAUCUGAUUAAUGUUAUGUAACUUUUGAGAGUCAGCCAGGCUGAUGUCACAGCCACGUGAUAAGCAAGAUAGAUACUCUGCAUGAGAUGUAACGGAAAUACGAGUCUCUCUUUUUCUCAGUUUGCCUAUCAAAAAAAAAAAAAAAAAAAAAAAAAAAAGAGGAACCACUUCCGGUGAGUUUCACUCCUACUCCUGAUUCAAACUGAAAGUCACUCCCACAGGAGCUGUGGGAAUGGCGAAAAAUGUCUUCCUCUGCUUGAAUCCCUAACGUAUAAAAACCAUCCUUUAUAAGGCCAACCCUGACUCAAAAUCUCACUUGAAAUAAAAAAAAUAUAAAUCUGAACAUUCAUCUUUAUUUAUUAAGAAGAAAUAUAUAUAGUGAGGACUGAGGAGCAUAAGCAUUUGCACCCCUUGUGAAGUUCAACCACUUAGAAAAUAGGUCUGAAAUUUCAAUCAUAGGUGCAUUUCCACUCAUAAGUAUUUGUACCCCUGUAAUUAGCAAUAAUUAUGACAUUAAAAGAGUUGUCAGUCUACCUUAAGAAAGUUCACCUUUACCCCAUGAGUAACC
Corythoichthys intestinalis (scribbled pipefish) is the source of this 2517-nucleotide long non-coding RNA. RefSeq lists it as uncharacterized. The transcript is spliced from 4 exons. NCBI's taxonomy places the organism in Eukaryota, Metazoa, Chordata, Actinopteri, Syngnathiformes, Syngnathidae. The record is from RefSeq and is a predicted model, not a curated record.